AGGUUUUACUGAAGCAAAGGGAAGGGGUGAGGUUGCAGUUGUGUUUAGGGGACAGGUGAAAGCCAUUCUCAAUCUGUCUCACUAAUGGGAGUAUCAGAAAGGGUGGGAGCUCCUCAGGAGGAGAUAAAAGCAGGACAAGGUAAGGAGAGUUGAGAUGGCGUUGGAGGGAGGACAGGGAGUGAUGGAGAGUGUGGCAUAGGCAAUACAGAUGCUCUUAAGAGCUAUGAGAAAGAGGAAAAUGCCACCCAGGGAAUCUAUCCAGGUGGUUAUAAACUAGGAUUUAGAGGAACAGCUUGCAGUAUGCCAUGCUGGGACACUGGAAUCUGUUGUUGGAGACGAGACUGGCUCUUCCAUUAUGACCUCAUUGCCACACAUUCCAAGACUGCCUGAAAGUGGCUCACCUGAGUGUUGGACAGUAGCUGCUCAAGCAGCCUGCCUUUGCAGCAGACCCAACGCCUGGUUUACACAGCGCUGCACUCAGACCAAGGCUUUUCACCACCAUCUUCUUGUAUGCUUAACAGACCUAAAGCUUUCUGCUUCCCAGGGACCAUCUGGCUGGAGUAUAUCUGAUUAGAUAAAGUCCUGUAGCUCUACCAAGUUCAGGGUCAUUAAGUUAUUCCAAACAAACCUUCCUCUUGUGAUUUCAAUUGGACAUAACAGCAACCUUCACUUCCUGCCUGAAACUCUCUCAUUGAUAGUGUUGGUGGGACACCUGUUGUCCACGAAGGCCUCCCAGCAUCUAGAUACAACUCUUUCCCUUAGUCCUACAUGCAUCAAAGCACUCGUACAGCCCUCCCAUAUGUCUCGUAUACUGAGUUUUCUACUUGCGAGAGAACCUCCAUGUCCCUGGUGUGGGGAAAUGGAUGUAUAUCCACUGUCAUGGGGACUUCAUUUGAAGUUUUGCUUUGUGAGUUUUCUGGACUUGUGUGUUUUUCCUUGUCUGAUUUGCUCCUUUGCCUUUGCUCCUAAUCCCACCACCUGGUAUGGCUCACACUGCAGAAUCUCUCUGCCUCCUCAGUGUAUACGCCCUUCAAAUAUUUGCAGACAUUUAUCACUUCCCCCCCUCCCUGCUUAGUCAUCUCUCUGCCAAGCUAGACAUAUUUAGCUCUUCUAAUCUUUCCUUGCAACCGAGUCUCUCCAUCAGUCAUAAUUCAUUUCUCCUUGCUCUUCUUUGAAUACUUUCCAGUUUGUCAUCCUUAAAAAAAUUCUUAUUGGGGGUGU
Pezoporus occidentalis (night parrot) is the source of this 1221-nucleotide long non-coding RNA. RefSeq lists it as uncharacterized. The transcript has 3 exons. Lineage: Eukaryota; Metazoa; Chordata; Aves; Psittaciformes; Psittacidae. The record is from RefSeq and is a predicted model, not a curated record.